CGAGGAAUAUUGGACAAUGGGGGCAACCCUGAUCCAGCAAUGCCGCGUGUGUGAAGAAGGCCUGAGGGUUGUAAAGCACUUUCAGUGGGGAGGAGGAUUACUAGGUUAAGAGCCAGGUGAUUGGACGUUGCCCACAGAAGAAGCACCGGCUAACUCCGUG
RNAcentral lists this ribosomal RNA (160 nucleotides) under uncultured bacterium. RNAcentral describes it as "partial 16S ribosomal RNA". It matches the Rfam family "Bacterial small subunit ribosomal RNA", at positions 355 to 507 of the family's 1533-position model. The record is from RNAcentral.